UACAGAGGUGGCAAGCGUUGUUCGGAAUUACUGGGCGUAAAGGGCGCGUAGGCGGCCUUGUAAGUCUUGUGUGAAAUCCCUCGGCUCAACUGAGGAACUGCACGGGAUACUGCGAGGCUUGAGUUCGGGAGAGGGAAGCGGAAUUCCGGGUGUAGCGGUGAAAUGCGUAGAUAUUCGGAAGAACACCAGUGGCGAAGGCGGCUCACUGGCCCGGUACUGACGCUGAGGUGCGAAAGCGUGGGGAGCAAACAGG
This 253-nucleotide ribosomal RNA is filed under the name uncultured bacterium. RNAcentral describes it as "partial 16S ribosomal RNA". It matches the Rfam family "Bacterial small subunit ribosomal RNA", at positions 524 to 776 of the family's 1533-position model. The record is from RNAcentral.